UUCUUUCAUUGUAUUGAUAGAAGUCUAACUAGAAAAGGAUCUCUCUAUUACUUUGAGAAGAGAAUCGUUGGUUUUACCGACGAACUACGUGGGAAAAUGGACCACACGUGCAACCAUCAAACCAGAGACCAAAGCAGGGAUCGACAUAAAGUUUAAGCCAAGCCUAGACAAAUUGUAUUUCACACUUAACUUUCGCCACGAAAAUGCGAUAGGAAUUCUGUAUAUAUAUGGCAGCGAUGCCUGUGCUCUUGUAAUAGAUUGAGCCAGUACCUAAAAACCUGCUCUACUAAAACUUUGUCAAAACGAGAGCGUGCAUUUUCUAAAUUCAAAUUUACAGCCCCCAUUUUGAGUUCAAUAUAUUCCAAUGCCUCCCUUCUUAUGGCCCUUUCGGGAAAAGGAGAUUCCCCCAAAAUUUGGAUUAAGCGAUCAUCUGGUUCGCUGAGAAGGAGAUUAAAAAGCUGGUCCUGUAAAUUAGCUUUCAAUUCGAGGACUGUAAUGUCGAAGAUUUCAUUGGAUA
RNAcentral lists this long non-coding RNA (517 nucleotides) under Gossypium barbadense (sea-island cotton). RNAcentral's name for it is "long non-coding RNA (GBAR_LNC011367)". The record is from RNAcentral. Lineage: Eukaryota; Viridiplantae; Streptophyta; Magnoliopsida; Malvales; Malvaceae.